AGGAUAAACGCUGGCGGCGUGCCUAACACAUGCAAGUCGAACGUCUCUUCUUUCGGGAAGAGGAGUGGCGGACGGGUGAGGAACACGUGGGAACCUGCCCUUUAGUGAGGAAUACCGGCGAGAAAUCGCCGACAAGACCGCAUAGCCCUCUUUGAUGAGAGUCAAAGAAGGAAAGCUUCGCAAGAGGCGCUAGAGGAGGGGCCUGCGUCCGAUUAGCUAGUUGGUGGGGUAAGAGCCUACCAAGGCGUCGAUCGGUAGCUGGUCUGAGAGGACGAUCAGCCACACUGGGAUUGAGAACGGCCCAGACUCCUACGGGGGGCAGCAGUGAGGAAUUUUCGGCAAUGGGGGAAACCCUGACCGAGCAACGCCGCGUGCAGGAAGACGGCCUUCGGGUUGUAAACUGCUUUCUUUGGGACGAGGAAGGACGGUACCAGAGGAAUCGAGCCCCGGCUCACUACGUGCCAGCAGCCGC
Molecule: ribosomal RNA, 472 nt
Filed under: uncultured bacterium
Lineage: Bacteria
Description: SSU rRNA
Rfam family: Bacterial small subunit ribosomal RNA
Source: RNAcentral